RNAcentral lists this long non-coding RNA (379 nucleotides) under Mytilus galloprovincialis (Mediterranean mussel). The record is from RNAcentral. Lineage: Eukaryota; Metazoa; Mollusca; Bivalvia; Mytilida; Mytilidae.
UGGGGGUAAUUGCCUCAAAAGUUCAGGAAUUAGCGGCCAAAAACAAGCAUUGUUGUGCCCAGACAAUUACUUAAAGUCAAGUGUAUAGAUCUUUUUGAAAUUGUACAGUAAGUAACCAUACCACAAAGGGGAAUUUGGGAUUGAGUCUGUGGGUAAUUCCUGAAGAGGAGGUAAAAGUGGGGAAGGGGGGGGUUAUUUUUUUCAUAUUUGUUUUCUUAAAUUUUUCUAUUUUUCUAUUGAUUUAUAUUUCGUUUUUGUAUAUUAAAGCAUACAAUACUGAUAUAUAUCAGAAGAUACACACCGAAUUGCGCAAUAGCAAGACAUCUUCGUUUUCAGACUAUCGUGUAAUAUUGGACCAGGAAGAAAUCUUCGAUUGCAC